AAGCAAAUGUGACUUUAUUUGUUGGAAAUGCUUUUAAACUCUGUAAAGAUGAAAAUGUCAUGGGAUCAGUGUGGUUGGGCAACAAAAUAGACAAGAGUCGUGAGACAGUGGAAGCUACUUCACAGUCAAAUGUCCACCGUACAUACAGGCAGGUUCAGUUAUUCAUGUUUUAUUUAUGUUUUUUACCAGUUAGUGUUUCUGGUUCACAGCCUGUGUAAUAAUAAUAACUGAUUUUAACGAUCGUGCCUUUUCAAUACAGAGGACUAGAAGGAUUAACACACAAUUCAUUCAGAGUGAAGGAAGGCGUUGAAGAGACAUCGCCUGUGGCGUCCCCAGUCUAAGAUCAUGCAUGCCCACGGAUAAUCAUCUUUAGUCAAUAGGCUUCCCCUGGUGUAACAUUAAUUAAACCAGCGAAUCCAUACAGUUCAUUUGUAAAACAGAGUAAAGCCUAUAGUAAACACCAUGUUCUGAGUAUCUGUCACAGCUGACUUUUCUUUUCAUCCUUUCUCAGCCUAAGCUGAUGAAUCUUAAAACCAUCACCGCGGCCUCUUCGUUUGCUCAGCCACGUGUUACACACAGGUAGACGGAGCACAGAUCCCCAGUGUUUACUGGGUCCAGUCUGGGAGACUCUGCGCGUGAGUGACGCCAUCCCUGGGACCACAGAAACGCCAUUAUCAGCACGCGCUGACAUCACUCGGCAGCACAGCGCCCGCGCACGCCGCUCACACACCACCACCGCCGUCUCAUUGUGUUUGUAGCUCGGCCCAUUGUCUGCGCGAGGGCCCCGCGGACAAUGUCGCCAAUCUCUCUCCCAACUCUGAUCCAACGCUGCCAUUGUGACUCGUCUUUUUCCCACUUGACCAGACGUUGAUGGUGUUGCCGUGUGAUGAGAGGGGAUGAGGGGGGGGGGUGAAGUGGAUUCACUGCCUGGCACAGAAUCCUGAGCAGAGACGAGAAUGAGCGACGUAAACAGCGCGGGGAUGUCAGCAUCAUCAUCGACCACCGCAGCCGGUGCGACCCGGUGGAAAAGCCCCUGCUGCUCCACGGCCGGCUCCACGCUCACAGUUAAGAUCCGAACCCUCACAGAAGCUGGAGCCGAUCAAAUCUGGACCAAUCUGGCGAUUUAUUGCUUCUCCUCCAUGAAACAGCAACUACAAGCAGCCGUGGGAUGAUUCAUUCGCUACUACUGUACUGGUUUGACUGAAGCUGCCUGAAAAUGGAUAACCAGCAACAGCUGAUUUAACACCAACUACAUUCGAAUGUUUAAAUGGUCACAGUGCUGGAGAUGCAGACCUUCUACUACACCAUGCACGGGCCCCCGGGCCCGGGCCCGUACGCGGCCCCCGGCCCGGUGCAGAGGCGCGUCCUGGAGGAGCAGGUGGAGCUGUGGUGGUUCCGGGAGCCGCGGCGCUCCCUGCUGUGCUACUGCGCCUCGGUGACGCUCAUAGUGGGGCUGGGGCUGGGCGGCGUGGGCCUCCUCUCCACCGCCACCAGCCUGUCUGGGGAGUGGCGCCUGUGGGUGGGCACCACCCUCUGCCUCCUGGCCCUCGCCGUGCUGCUCAAGCAGCUCCUCAGCUCCGCCGUGCAGGACAUGAACUGCGUGCGCAGCCGGCACCGCAUCGAGCAGCUGAGGAGCGGCGGGAGGGCCGACCCGGCGCUGAUGCUGGCCGUGGGGCUGGCGGUGGCGCUGUGCGGGGCGGUGCUGGUGUGCGUGGCGGCGGCGGCGGGCGGGCGAGGCGGCGACGCCGGGGACAUGCUGGGCUCGGGCCUGGCGCUGAUGGCGGCGGGGGCGGCCACGGCUCUGGCUGUGGUGGGCUACGGCGCGCUGGUCCUGAGGCGGGGGGGGGGCGGGGCCAGGAGGCCGGGGGUCUUCAGCGUCUCAGAGCGACCGAUGAGCCAGGCCAGGAGGGAGGCCUCCUCCAGCAGAACCAGCCUCAUCUGAGACCCGGAGACUCAGCCACGGGAUGAUCACGUCCCCCCGCGUGAGACUCAUAGGAAGACAAUAACACACGCAUAAGGAAUUUCAAUUUAUGAAAUGAUCCGCCUGGAUGUAGUUGUCCUCGAUGAAGCCGUCGUCGUCCUCCUCCAGGCCGCCGUUGGUGCCCCCCACCACGUCCAUCCUCCCGGACACGCUGCUGGGGAAGGGGCCGUCGUCCGGGCCGCACUGGCUGACCCCGUCGGACUCCUGCAGCAGCGAGUGCCUGUAGCUGGCCAGGAAGCGGUGGAAGAGGCGAAACUUGACCGCCGCCACGAUGAGGAGGGAGAGGCUGAGCACCGUGCCCAGGCUCGCAGCCAAAUAGGACCACUCCAGGGGCUUCGGGCGCUGGUCGGCGAUAGCUGCCCCUGGAAAAGAACGAGAAAAUGCCCGUGAAGCGCCUCAAAGUGAAGCGGGGUAGAGUUCACGCACGCGGGCCGGGGUCACUCACUUCCUGCUUCGCUGCUGUUACUGCUGCCCUGGUCUCCGUCCAUGAGCAGGCGUCUCUGUGAGACCUCCUGCUGUCCUCCACUUACGAUGGCGGCUGCACAAAGGAGGAGCGUCACCAGGAGGCUGCAGCUCCACCAAGUCAUGGCUGUGCCCUGAGGAGAGGCCUUGAGGAGAGAAAAGCUCUGCUCACUAAUAAAACAUGCAUUGUCUUCCAGCCUUAUUAUCUGUCAGGGCUGUAGCUACAGAAAACACCCACUUGAUUUAAUGACAGCUUGAACACGAAACUCUGAUUAUUUCUGUGACCUUUAAAUGCAGCGCUAGUUAUAAAUGGAUGUUUUCCCAACCUGUGUUGUUCAUACAGUACAGUACAUACGAAUGUGUGAACCGGUGAUUUCCGGCUGAUGAGACGCCGCCUACUGUACGUGGGUUUCAUUUUAUGGCCAGUCAACUAUUAACCCGUGUCUUGUGAUUUUACCAAACUCAAAGCUAAGGCUGGAAAAUCAGUGGGGUCACAUAAUCUGAAGACUUAAAUCGUGUUGGGAUUUGAACCUUCUAUUGAUCCAGUUUGGUUUCAUUAUUUAGAACCCACACUUCCUUUAUCGUCUGUGAAUUUGGCCUAAAAAUGACUUGAUUUCUUCAUAUAAUAUUGUUUGAUGAUCCUAAUCCUGUUGAGUGCUGUAGUCGUAGCAUUUAUAUUAUUAUACUCUAUAUUUACUGUAUAUUUAAAUACACCGGAAGGUUGUGAAGACCAAACCUGCGUGAUUGGAACUUGCAGUUAAAUCCAGUUUACAAGUCCAACAAGUCCAAAUCCAGUUAUCAUUUACUUGAUGUAAGUUCUUCUGUAUGUUAUUUUAAAUACCUCUAUGUUAAUUAGCACAACACACAUUGACACAUACUAAGAUUAUAGUGCUAUAUUCAAAGGAGCUGCUGUGUCCAGUGUGGCUGUAACGUCCCUAUGUAUUUAGCCAUUUAGCUCAUAUGACAACCACACACUCAGCAUCAUCAACCUCCCGUAGGAAAGGUGUUCAUUUAUACAAUAAACAAACAAAUUUACCUGUUAAAUGAUGACCGUCUGGCUCGACCUGAAACUCUGAAACGCUGUUUAUUCUGUCUCGCUCUCAGCCACUGACACACGCAGAGACCUGCGGGGCAAAGGUCGCGCGGUGUGCAAUCAAACUGCGCCCUGCCCGUACCACAGAGAGGUUAUUGAGUAACUGUGACAGGUCUGCCUUCGAGCGUCCAUCUCUAAUUACUCACCCUCAUAACCGCAAGCACAAACAACAGUGGGAUUUUAACAGCUUCAAUAUUAUUCCCAUAAAUUCUGAACUGAGAUAUUUAUAUUUAAAAAAUUCAGAUGACCUAAAGCAUCCAAGGCAGUUUUCUUAAAACAUUUACAUCUAAUAUGUGGAAAGGAGCAAGACUAAAACUGUCUUUAAUGUUCAAGAGGGACAUUUUAAUGUAAUUGAACUAAGCUUUAAAUAAAAAGUGUUGUCAGUUG
This is an RNA transcript of Betta splendens (Siamese fighting fish), 3923 nucleotides long. It is a transcript of the gene named transmembrane protein 125b, with no coding region annotated. The transcript is spliced from 3 exons. The record is from RefSeq and is a predicted model, not a curated record. NCBI's taxonomy places the organism in Eukaryota, Metazoa, Chordata, Actinopteri, Anabantiformes, Osphronemidae.